This 579-nucleotide ribosomal RNA is filed under the name Aspergillus fumigatus. RNAcentral describes it as "eukaryotic LSU rRNA". The stretch from base 206 to 359 matches the Rfam family "5.8S ribosomal RNA". The record is from RNAcentral. Lineage: Eukaryota; Fungi; Ascomycota; Eurotiomycetes; Eurotiales; Aspergillaceae.
AACCUGCGGAAGGAUCAUUACCGAGUGAGGGCCCUCUGGGUCCAACCUCCCACCCGUGUCUAUCGUACCUUGUUGCUUCGGCGGGCCCGCCGUUUCGACGGCCGCCGGGGAGGCCUUGCGCCCCCGGGCCCGCGCCCGCCGAAGACCCCAACAUGAACGCUGUUCUGAAAGUAUGCAGUCUGAGUUGAUUAUCGUAAUCAGUUAAAACUUUCAACAACGGAUCUCUUGGUUCCGGCAUCGAUGAAGAACGCAGCGAAAUGCGAUAAGUAAUGUGAAUUGCAGAAUUCAGUGAAUCAUCGAGUCUUUGAACGCACAUUGCGCCCCCUGGUAUUCCGGGGGGCAUGCCUGUCCGAGCGUCAUUGCUGCCCUCAAGCACGGCUUGUGUGUUGGGCCCCCGUCCCCCUCUCCCGGGGGACGGGCCCGAAAGGCAGCGGCGGCACCGCGUCCGGUCCUCGAGCGUAUGGGGCUUUGUCACCUGCUCUGUAGGCCCGGCCGGCGCCAGCCGACACCCAACUUUAUUUUUCUAAGGUUGACCUCGGAUCAGGUAGAGGAUACCCGCUGAACUUAAGCAUAUCAAAA